ACAAAGGCCAAAUACUCGCCUGUUCCCUAUGGCCACAGCCCCAUUUCCCGUAUAUAAAUGUAUAGCAAAACAAUCAAUCAAAGAGGCCCAACAGCAAGGAGGCCCAGCAGAUGUAUCCCAUUACCCCUACCCCUGGACCCUGGAAAGGCAAUCAAUCAAGGGGACCCAACAGAUGUAUCCUAUAUACCCCUAGAAAGGAAUUUAAAAAUUCCUUAGGUCAGCAGAAAGUAUGCACGUUAAGUCAUUUGUUACUGGGUAUAAAAAGGCUUGCUCUACGCUUGUAAGGUGUGCUCCUCCCUCUGGCAUAAGUCGAGGGGGACACCCGCUCAGCUGACUGAUCAAUAAAGAACUUGAAGCCGUCUUCUCGACUCCCGUGCCUCCUUGGGGUAAUUGGGCAGCUCCAGGGGGAAACGAGCCCAUUUGGCUAACAAAUGGCGACUCCGCCGGGACUUCUCUCCCUGUAGAGGGCACUGACCGACGGCCGAGGGCGAUUCCGAGGAGUGGCCACCUCGAGCUGUUGCUUUGCUCGGGCCUCGGAUCGUCACAAUCGGCCGGGGCGGCUGUGUCCUCUCUAAAGAGAACUCUGAAGGACACGGAAGCAAGACGGCUUCAGAAGAAGGGGAAGUCUGACUGCCGGACGCGGCCACUUCGGGCGCUGCAUCGACGCGGCGCCAUUCCAGGCUCUCCCCUUGGACCAGACCGUGCAUCCGUUCCGGAUCGGUGACCAGGUCCUUGUCAAGAAGUGGAAACGCGACCCCCUUACGCCAAGGUGGGACGGUCCACACACUGUUUCGCUCAUCAGCCAGGCCGCAGUUAAAAUUCUUGGAAGCGACAAAUGGACACAUCACACCCGGGUAAAGCGGUUUCUGAAUCCUGACCAGGGAACCAAUCCCACGGAAGAGGACACCGGCCCUCUGCCCACCCCGGCCCCGGAAGCCCGGGGUGGCACGGGCGAAGACACCGUCUGGGAGUAUCAAGGACUCGAUGGGCUAAAAGGACUGUUUAGGAAAAAGCAAUAAUGAACUCAUUAUUGAUAUUUCUGUUCAUAGGUGUCUAUCACGGCUAUGGUUGGGAGAAUAGGUUUAUACAACUGGGAGAAAUAAUAGCGAGUUCCUUCAAUCUUAGUAGCUGCUGGGUUUGUGGAGGUCCAGGGGAUUGGAAUGAAUGGCCUUGGGUAGCCCAGCCAGUGCAAGCUAAAUGGUGGAUCAGUAAUUUAAGUAUAGUCCACAAAGGAACAGAAGUUUGGGAUGAGGAUAGUAGCCCUUGGUGACUCUAUUCCUCUGAGAUGGGGAUCCUUUGUCUAAACCGAACAAAACCAGAAGGGGUGUAUGUGGGCCAAAGCCAAUGUGACUGGACCCUAUCUCUAGGAUUUGACUGCUAUGAUCACCCUAGUUGCCAUACGUAUGACUGUUCUAAAUAUCAGGGACGAUGGAACCAAACCCACGUAAAACUCACUAAUCAUAGCUGGGUACAAUGUUCCUACCAACAGCAUACUGGUAAAGGCUGUAAGGCAGUUGGACAAGAUGGGUUCUUUGAUGCCCUCUUUCUAAGUUGCCAGCAAGAUAAUACCGACAGUAAGGAUCAUGUGGUACGCUGGUAUCAGUGGGCAUGGCAACAUUCUAAUGGAACUCGGGUAACCCAUUUUAAUCAUUUUUGGUCUACUACCAAUAGCCCUAAAUUUGGUUGUAAUUGCGCUUGAAAGGAAGGGGCUGGGGCCUGGAAAUGUGACUAUUGUAAUCCUGACGGUACAUCUAUUGUAUUAGGGGGACCCCUGGAGAUGGGUAACUCUUUGUAUUACGAAGAACCGGGCCCCGAGGACUACCCCGAAGCCUGGGAUGGCCCCUUUGCGAAUGGACAAUGGGCCCUAAAAGGCCAUUACUGGAUAUGUGGGCAAUAUGCUUAUCAAAGAUUGCCUCCAAAUUGGUCAGGAAUUUGUUAUGUUGGGUACAUUAGGCCCUUAUUCUUUCUACUACCCCAAAUCCAGGAAAAUAAAUUAGGAAUUAAGGUAUAUGACGACUUGAUUAGGGAGAGGCGGUCCGUUGAUUCCGCAUUGACUGCUGGAAGCUCCCAAAAGUGGGGGGCUCAAAAGUGGCUCCCUGUGUAAUUGCAUUAGUCCAAUAAAUGGCUAAUCAAAUUGUACGCCAACGCAUGAUGGCAUUAUAUCAACCGGUUAAAGUUGAGGAUUGGGGGCCAUAAGGCUCUCAAAAUGCUUUUAAGGGGGGAGAACCUUGUUAGAACAAAGGCCAAAUACUCGCCUGUUCCCUAUGGCCACAGCCCCAUUUCCCGUAUAUAAAUGUAUAGCAAAACAAUCAAUCAAAGAGGCCCAACAGCAAGGAGUCCCAGCAGAUGUAUCCCAUUACCCCUACCCCUGGACCCUGGAAAGGCAAUCAAUCAAGGGGACCCAACAGAUGUAUCCUAUAUACCCCUAGAAAGGAAUUUAAAAAUUCCUUAGGUCAGCAGAAAGUAUGCACGUUAAGUCAUUUGUUACUGGGUAUAAAAAGGCUUGCUCUACGCUUGUAAGGUGUGCUCCUCCCUCUGGCAUAAGUCGAGGGGGACACCCGCUCAGCUGACUGAUCAAUAAAGAACUUGAAGCCGUC
Malaclemys terrapin pileata is the source of this 2597-nucleotide long non-coding RNA. RefSeq lists it as uncharacterized. The transcript is spliced from 2 exons. The record is from RefSeq and is a predicted model, not a curated record. NCBI's taxonomy places the organism in Eukaryota, Metazoa, Chordata, Testudines, Emydidae.